This 367-nucleotide transfer-messenger RNA is filed under the name Acidobacteriota bacterium. It matches the Rfam family "transfer-messenger RNA". From Rfam's summary of the family: Bacterial tmRNA, also known as 10Sa RNA or SsrA, is named for its dual tRNA and mRNA-like properties. Its role is to liberate the mRNA from a stalled ribosome. The record is from RNAcentral. Lineage: Bacteria; Pseudomonadati; Acidobacteriota.
GGGGGCGACCUGGUUUCGACGUGGUCGAUCCAUCCGGAUGAGCUGCAAGCCGAGGUCGCCGGUUGGCCUCGUUAAUCCACCGGCACCAAUCAAAUGCGAAUCCUCGUGAUCUCGCACUCGCUGCCUAGUUCGUAAGAGCUAGAAGGCGACGCCCUUCCGAGUUGGGCCCGUGACUCGGGACGGCGCCAACGAACGGGCUCGGCGCCGAGGGAGAGCCAAUCGCCCGGAGCGCGACACGAAAGGAUGGCUGGCCCGGCGGUAGGACGGCGCACUCCGGCCGUCGGGCGAGAUCCAAGUGCCGCCUACGCUUGUAGAUGCUCAGCCGGUGCGGCUGCGGACGCGGGUUCGAUUCCCGCCGCCUCCAUUC